GUGCUUGCUUUCGCAGCACAUAUACUAAAAUUGGAGCAAUACAGAGAAGAUUAGCAUGGGCCCCGUGCAACAAUGACACGCAGAUUCGUGAAGUCUUCCAUAUUUUU
Molecule: small nuclear RNA, 107 nt
Organism: Bison bison bison
Lineage: Eukaryota; Metazoa; Chordata; Mammalia; Artiodactyla; Bovidae
Source: Ensembl